UUGUGAAUUUCAGGUUUAUGAUCAGCACUGCCUCCAGCCACAGACAGUCUGUAUCUGUACUCUAGUCACUUGGUGACAAGGACUGUGGUGAAAGUCAACCUGACCACUGACUGUUGGGUUUCCCUUUUGUUCACGCUGGCCCUAAACUCAAUACUAUGUAGUCCAGGCUAGCCUUGAACUCGAAGUGAUUCUCGUGCCUCUGCCUCCUGAAUGCUGGGAUUACAGGCAGUGUCAACCUAUUGUGUCACCUCACAGCGAGACAGCCCCAAUUCCAGUUCUUAUUCAGAUAAGGAAUUAUCAGCGCAUUGAGCAGAAUCUGACGUCUACUGCCAGCUCUAGUACAAAUUCACAUGGUUCUCCAAGGUCUGCAGUGGUAUGAAGGUCUAACACCAGCCCCCUGGGCUUCCUCAGGCUGGGAUCCUGCUCCCCAGCACCAGCAGACACAGUACAGACAGUUGGAUGAAGACUCUCUACUGGGUCUUCCAGGCCUUACUCACCUUCUCUUUUGGGCAAGGAGAAUUUAAAGCAGCUAUUUUCAACCUUAUUUUCACUAUAACAAAUCUGACGUGAUGCACUCGUUUUAGGAACAUCAGUUUACCAUAGUAGUGAUUCUGACCUGAUUGGAGGGCAUGACCCUUUCUUCUUACUUUAUCCUACUCCUAACUCUGCUUUGAGAACCUCUGUAUAAAUCUGUUGGGAUUGCUGUUGAAAAUACAGUAAAUAAAUGGAUCUUUUAUAUCAAAAGCACUCUCACUGGAUUUGGGUUCUAACUGCAGAAUCAGAGAUCCUAGGUUAAAAUGCAUAGAGU
Heterocephalus glaber (naked mole-rat) is the source of this 808-nucleotide non-coding RNA. NCBI's taxonomy places the organism in Eukaryota, Metazoa, Chordata, Mammalia, Rodentia, Bathyergidae. The record is from RefSeq and is a predicted model, not a curated record.